Molecule: long non-coding RNA, 1228 nt
Filed under: Brachypodium distachyon (stiff brome)
Lineage: Eukaryota; Viridiplantae; Streptophyta; Magnoliopsida; Poales; Poaceae
Description: long non-coding RNA (BDIS_LNC004517)
Source: RNAcentral
CUAAUAUUUUUUACAAAUUGUGGUCAGACCUAUAUGCAUGACUAUUUGAUGUUAGGGUUUGGUUGUUUCAACUUUCUUUCCUGAGGGUAGGUACCAACAUACUAGAACUGCAUAAAAUGAUUUUUUUUCAUAUGUUAUGACCAAUGUAUAACACAUUUCCAAUUGAAAUUUGAAUUACUUUCAAUAAAUGUCUAGAAAUCCAUUAAAUAAAUUAAAAAUAGCACAUCACCUCCAAAAGCCAUGAAAAAUGGGCAUUACUCCUCCAUUAUAAUGUAACUAGUAUUGAAGUUGAAAACGUCAAACUAUCAAUCUUAUUUUGGGUACUUGUCUCACAAAAAAUGUCAAAUUUCACACAUAAAAAAAUUAAAUAAAAAAUUUAUCACAUAAAAUUAAAAAAUUUAGUUGGCAAUCUUGUGUACAAUUGCGAGACCCAUGUUGGUGCAAAAUUUAGUGAUGAAAUGAGAAACUGAGACAUGGAUAAUUGCCUCCAAACCUCUCCAAACCCCUCCAAAUCUCCAGCUCCAAACCCCUCCAAACCCAGCUCCAAACCUCUCCAAACCCCCAUAUCCAAACUCUGGGCCAAACUCUUUCUCUAGCCCAUCUCCAGGCCGAGCCGCCCCAGCCCGGCAACUCGUUCGUUUUCCUCCUCGCACCCCUGCACAUACCACAUCCAUUAGGUUCUGGGGCCGGAUGAUGUCACUUGGAUUACCAUCUUCCCAACCGUGCCUCAUCGAGCCGAGACCAAGGAUCUGAUCCCAUCUCUCCACGAACCGGUUCAGGCCUUAAAUCGCCCGUUUCUCCUUUUCAUCUCUCAAAUUCAACCACGCGCCCCGAAUGUCAACCGUCGGCAUCCACGUCCCGAUCUCCCUCCUAGGCCCGUUAAAACGAAAUUCGAGCGCGGUCACAUUAAGCCUUCAACACUCCUAUGUUAGUUUUCUAUUAAAUGUUUUGCGUUUAAGCCUCUGUAGAUCCCGGUACCUCGACGUCUCUGUCCGCCAUCCGCCGCCACCAUUGUUGACGGUGAGCUCUCUCUAAACCUCCGUUUUUAAAUUCCUUUCACCUGUAGACUCCUGUGACCCUUGCCUACCUCCUUGGCAAGGUUGUGCGAGAGGUUUGUGGCAUUAGCCGCGUCGUCCCUGAAGCAGUGCCGCCGCCCACCGCCGACGAGAGGACCAUGCUGCGGUGCUCCUCCGCCCCAUCCGCUGCUGGCAGCGCGUUUAGAAUGAGC